UGCGAGCGUGACGGCGCGAGCAGGUGCGAAAGCAGGUCAUAGUGAUCCGGUGGUUCUGAAUGGAAGGGCCAUCGCUCAACGGAUAAAAGGUACUCCGGGGAUAACAGGCUGAUACCGCCCAAGAGUUCAUAUCGACGGCGGUGUUUGGCACCUCGAUGUCGGCUCAUCACAUCCUGGGGCUGAAGUAGGUCCCAAGGGUAUGGCUGUUCGCCAUUUAAAGUGGUACGCGAGCUGGGUUUAGAACGUCGUGAGACAGUUCGGUCCCUAUCUGCCGUGGGCGCUGGAGAACUGAGGGGGGCUGCUCCUAGUACGAGAGGACCGGAGUGGACGCAUCACUGGUGUUCGGGUUGUCAUGCCAAUGGCACUGCCCGGUAGCUAAAUGCGGAAGAGAUAAGUGCUGAAAGCAUCUAAGCACGAAACUUGCCCCGAGAUGAGUUCUCCCUGACCCUUUAAG
RNAcentral lists this ribosomal RNA (454 nucleotides) under Escherichia coli. RNAcentral's name for it is "partial 23S ribosomal RNA". It matches the Rfam family "Bacterial large subunit ribosomal RNA", at positions 2374 to 2825 of the family's 2925-position model. Lineage: Bacteria; Pseudomonadati; Pseudomonadota; Gammaproteobacteria; Enterobacterales; Enterobacteriaceae. The record is from RNAcentral.